UGGGGAAUAUUGGACAAUGGGCGCAAGCCUGAUCCAGCCAUGCCGCGUGUGUGAAGAAGGCCUUUUGGUUGUAAAGCACUUUAAGCGAGGAGGAGGCUACUUGGAUUAAUACUCUAGGAUAGUGGACGUUACUCGCAGAAUAAGCACCGGCUAACUCUGUGCCAGCAGCCGCGGUAAUACAGAGGGUGCGAGCGUUAAUCGGAUUUACUGGGCGUAAAGCGUGCGUAGGCGGCUUUUUAAGUCGGAUGUGAAAUCCCUGAGCUUAACUUAGGAAUUGAAUUGGAUACUGGGAAGCUAGAGUAUGGGAGAGGAUGGUAGAAUUCCAGGUGUAGCGGUGAAAUGCGUAGAGAUCUGGAGGAAUACCGAUGGCAAAGGCAGCCAUCUGGCCUAAUACUGACGCUGAGGUACGAAAGCAUGGGGAGCAAACAGG
Molecule: ribosomal RNA, 430 nt
Filed under: Acidobacteriota bacterium
Lineage: Bacteria; Pseudomonadati; Acidobacteriota
Description: Acidobacteria bacterium partial 16S ribosomal RNA
Rfam family: Bacterial small subunit ribosomal RNA
Source: RNAcentral